AUGCCAGGUGAAGGCAACGCGGGCAGCCCCAGCCCCUCACACUUGCAUGCAGACUGGCUGCCAUAUCCCUGUGCCAGCUGUCCCCUACCUGGCCUCUGCCUCUUGCAUAUGAUGCAGGGACUGGCCCAGAGUCCAUCACAGCAUGGGUCAGGACUGCCUGUAACCUGUCUGGUUCAGCUGAGGCAGUAUUUUUUGGCUGCUUCCAGCCUGCUGGAGAAGCAACCUGGUCAGAGAGAAGCAGCACUACAGCAGAGUCUAAGUGAAGGAGCACCAGCUCAUCUGGUUCCAGCACAUGCUGUUGCACUGAAGAUGGCUUCUCUGCCUUCUUAGGCAGAUCCUGCUUUUGAGACACAGGAGCAUCCCAACUGACAUGUUGUCAGUGUCUGCUUAGCAGAAGGAAGAAACAUUUCUUUCUUGAGAGGAAGCUACUGUCAAGCUCCGUGUUCACUGCCAUUCGAAGCUGAUGAGGUGCAUUCAAAUACACAAUGGGAACUGUUCUGCCUGAGUGGCAGAGCUGGCCAUAGAUGAUGGCUGUCAACUUCCCAGCAGGAUCCUGCUUUGGGCCCUUGGAAGUAAGGCAAGGGCAGUGGACUCCCAUUCAUUCUCUGAGACACAACUAGAGGUAGCAGCUGUUCAGCCUCUCCCUUGCUCAGUAGGACUGUAAGAGGUCAUCCUCAUCCUCUGCUGCUAAGACAGGAGAAUGAGGGACAGGAAUUGAGUGAAUAACAUAAUUACUUGCAUUCAUCCAAGACACUGUGAUUCCAUCAGUAGUGCAAAACUAACUCAUGAAUGCAUUGGACUGUCUCAUUUUCUCCAGGUGGUGAUAUUUCUGUGGCUUUUGUUUCUUAAGUCAUACAAAUUUGGACUCUUUUCUAAAAUCCCUUCUUUCUGUUGCAGGGAAGCAGUGCUAGGUGAAGCUGGCUGUGGAAGGAGAAGCGAAAACCCUAGAACUCCCUCCACUAGAAAAAGCUGAGAAAUUAAUGAGAAUUACCAUAGGAACUGAUAUCAGCACUGUUGGCAGCUGUGCAGCAUUGAAGAGUGCACACAGGAUUCAGAUAUGUUGGCAGAAGCAAGAACCAACAAUGCUGCCACUCAGCAAUUUGUUGAAGAUACUGUCACCACCAGUAAACCCCAACUUCACAGAGGAGUGCCGCAGAUGAUGUGUUUUCCAGUCCUGUUGCCCAAAUAAACAUGCCAAAACCAAAGAGAAUGUUGGUCAUCACAUUCCUUGCUCGGCCUUUUUAAUAACUGUAGAUGUAGCAAGACUUAAUUUUCUGCACUGAUUUUUUGAUCUUUUCUGGAUUUUUUUAUGGCAGAGCUCUCUUUAUUGAUGAGCAUACGCCAUUGAAGAAGAUCUGUAAUUUUAUGGCAUUUCUCAUUCAUUAAAAUUGAAAGGUGUCCUAGUUGGUCUCUGAUGGAACCUGAUUUAUGGGCCACCUUAAGAUGAAGCCCCACAGCCUGGAGUGCCCCUAAGAUAGCUUGUACUCCUUUGAAGCAUAAGCAUGUAAGGCACAGAUUAAGCAAAGUAGGCUGCUGGAUUUGGGGAUGGUUUAGGCAGCCCAGUAGGGCUGUUCCUACAGCACAGGGAUUGCCAGGCAUGCUUCUCCAUCUUCCUGGUAUGUUGAGUGAGCCUCUGCACAAAGAGACCAGAUUGUGAGGGAACUCUGGAGAUCAUCUAGUCCACCUUCCUGCUAAAGCAGGUUCCGUACAGCAGGUGGCAGAGGAAAGCAUCCAGGUGGGUUUUGAGUAUCUCCAGAGAAGACUCCACAGCCUCUCUGGCAGCCUGUUCCAGUCAUUUGUCCUUUGUACUGCUCUUCCACUGACCUCCAUUCCCUUUCCUGGCUUUGGGCAUCUAUUGCUGGUGCUGACAUCAGGAGUAUGGGAUUACUGUAUUUCUCUCCACCCAAAAUGCUCAAGUCUAAAUCACAUGCUGCCAGGAGCUCUGAACAUGUGCAGGAAGCAGAAUAGUGCUGUCAUCUUUUACUUUCCAUUCUGCACAUUCUACCAGAGUAAAGGAAUCCUUGGAGACGAAGGCUGCCCAAGACAAAUGCAAUGUAAAAGACAUUUUGACGAUUACAGAAAGUGCUCGGCACAGCAUCAAGACAUUCUCUCCAAAUCAACCCCUCCGGCAGAUUGUUGUUUGUAUUCUAUUGCUAAUUUAUUUUAGAAACUUUCCAAAAAAAUCAUUUCCUUUGACAAAGAAAUAAGUAAGAUAAACUUAUAUCUAGCAAAUAUUCUACAGGUCACCUAUAGCCUCUUUGGGCAGCAUACAGGCACUGUGGUGGUGUAUGUGGUGCUAUAUAAUCAAUUAAAGGACUGUAUUCUCAGGAAUAUAAUAAAUAAGAACUAGGUUGUAUUGUAUAGGAAAAUGCUAAAUUAAAUGUUUGAUCACUAGGAUAAGCAAAAGAAAGCAAAUGUUGUAAUACAGUGCCAAAAUCCCAGCAAAACUGACUCGGUCUUGCUAGCUUUUACCCAAUGGCUCAGUAAAGGAAAAGUUUCUGUUCCUAAGGAAAAGGAGUACUUUGAUUUCCUCAGCUAUCUGAAUGAUAUUUGAAGCCACACCAGUUAGGACAGAUUCUCAUCUGCAGAACAUGGCAUUUUCUAAGGUUGGCUGCUUAUCAGCCUCUCCCAUGGCACAGUUCCAUGUUGUUAAAAUAUCUUUGGGAAACCAAGUAAGAAUGAUUGCAGUUGCUUACCUGCGAGGCCUGGCUGCUCACCUGGAAACAGGGAUAACUAAAUUUCUUCCUUGCUCCACUGAAUGCCCAAUAACUCAAGGUCAAGUGCCAUCAGCAGAAGGUUUAAGAGCUUUUCCCAUGCUCUGUUUUGUAACAUGGAUGGCAGAUUAUGCUCCAGAGGCAUAGAAUAUUCAGUUUAAAACCCAGAAGCUAAAAGUAGCUUCCCCACUUCUUGAGGAAGAGUUGUAGCCAGCUGGCCACCAGGUCAGGGGUUGGCUGAUCCUAUCCACACGUUUUUUACCUCAUCUCCUCAUUCUACCCCCAGUCUUGGCUCCAGACAGGACAGAAUAAAAUUGGCAUUGGUUUGGGGGGAAAAAAAUACCAGUAUUUUUGCAUUGCUAACCAUUUUCUCAGAAAAUAUUACUCAAAUCUAAGAAUAAUAAUUCCUAUAGUAUCAAUAUUCACUGCGAAAAGCUCAAAGAGAAAGCUCCCCAGGCUGCAAAUGUGAACAUUAAAAUCAUUGCUGGAAGGGUUCUUUCCUCCAUUUCUUUGAAACUGUUUGUGCUCUCACUGAUAUGAAUGUGAAUGCUUACCCUUAUGUUUGUAACCAGUCUGGCCUACCUGCUGUCAUCUACAAAAGUCUGCUCUGCAUCUUGCUGAGUGUGUGACAGUUGAAAGUAAGCAAUACCGUUAGCUAUGUGCCUAUGCACUUCAGCCCUUUAUGGUUAGUACAUGGCUAGAUUAUACAAAGCAAAGUGUGUAUUGUGUUGAAAAAUAUGACUUUUCAAAGGAUAACUAUGAAGACAGUGUGCACCAGAAUGCAUUUUUCUCCAAGCACUUUACCUAAUCAGCAAGGUCUGUAUGUAUACAUAUAUAUGUCUAGAUUUCUAGAUUCAGGCUGGAUGUCAGGAAAAGGUCCUUCACCAGAGUCUGGUCAGGCACUGCCCGAGGGCAGUGGCAGUGGCACUGAGAUGCCAGAAUUCACAGAGUAUCUGGACAACUCUUUAUCAGUCAUCUGGUCUGAUUUUUGGGUGGACCUGAGGACACAAAACAGCCUCAAUGAUCUUUAGGGUCUCUUCCAACUUAGGAUGUUCUAUAAUUCUAUGAUAAGUGUACAUAUAUAUAUCUACUUCUAUCAGAAGAGGGUUUUUUCCCUGAUUUCUCACUGUUCAAAGCUUAUCUAACAUUUCUGCCUAACCUUCAGACACACGUUGCCUUCCAGAAGGGACCCAAACUGGAACUUUCAAUGCAAGUCAAGAAAAUGUUCUAAAAGUGCAGUUAGAAUUGAAUUAGCUAUAGCUGGAAAUAUCUUUGGAGUAGAUGAUCUUCUAAUGCUGAGACUGAAUAUUUUUGAACAGUGCUUUAAAAUCACUGAGUAAAUUGCUGAUGAGCUUCAUAUCCUUCAACAGCAAUUGUCAUUUCUGACAUAAUAAUUUAAUUUCUUUCUUAUACUUUGUGAGUUUUAGGUAUCAUGUUUUAAAAUAGUUGCCAGUUGCCAAUAGUUGCUUACUUACACUGUAAUGUUUUCAAUGCUUACGAAAACGACGAUCAGUUAGUUUUAAGCACUGGCCUUGUUCACUCAACUUGAGCUUACACAGAAAGUAUCGAAAGUGUUUUCAGGUAAGUGACUAUGAUGGAAAACUGUCCCAGUGCAGAUGUUUGGCUUCUCUUAGAAAGAAAUACUAAACAAAAACCUUGAAACUGCUACUAUUAUAUAAAUCAUUUAUCUUACUAAAUUUAAUAGAUUUAAAUUUAAGAUAUUUAAUAUCUUAUCAAAAUGUUCAUCUAAGGUAUCAAGGCAGAAAUUCAAAUUGUAGAUUUAAUGCUGCGAUAAGAUUUCCUGAAGUGAG
Meleagris gallopavo (turkey) is the source of this 4525-nucleotide long non-coding RNA. The record is from Ensembl. NCBI's taxonomy places the organism in Eukaryota, Metazoa, Chordata, Aves, Galliformes, Phasianidae.